UAUUGCACAUGACUAAGUUGCA
RNAcentral lists this microRNA (22 nucleotides) under Bos taurus (domestic cattle). RNAcentral describes it as "Bta-Mir-32_5p (mature (guide))". Lineage: Eukaryota; Metazoa; Chordata; Mammalia; Artiodactyla; Bovidae. The record is from RNAcentral.